AUCCCCUGACAAAGAGCAAAGAGACACUUCAUUGGUGGUGGUGUUCUUAAAUCAAUCAGGGGCAGAGCAAAUGGUAGUCCUUUGUUCAUCCUAGCUUGACACCUGGCUCGGUGGCUAAUACUGUUUCAUGCCUAGGACACAAUC
Molecule: small nucleolar RNA, 144 nt
Organism: Nannospalax galili (Upper Galilee mountains blind mole rat)
Lineage: Eukaryota; Metazoa; Chordata; Mammalia; Rodentia; Spalacidae
Source: Ensembl